Molecule: small RNA, 21 nt
Filed under: Karenia brevis
Lineage: Eukaryota; Dinophyceae; Gymnodiniales; Kareniaceae
Description: trans-spliced leader sequence SL
Source: RNAcentral
CCGUGACCAUUUUGGCUCAAG